Molecule: long non-coding RNA, 686 nt
Organism: Gallus gallus (chicken)
Lineage: Eukaryota; Metazoa; Chordata; Aves; Galliformes; Phasianidae
Exons: 2
Source: RefSeq, a predicted model, not a curated record
GCGCAUAGAGAUGGGCAAAAAAAGUGAGCACAGAAGGAUGAAUACAGAAACAGAAUUGAAUUACUUUUGUGAAGUUCAGGUUUCAAGUUCUCAAGAAUGAGUACGUGCUGAAAAAAAAAAAAAGCCUCCUGGGGCUGUGACUGUACUAUUGCCAUGAAAGCUCCGGAACAAACAGUUUUGCAUAAUGAGUGCAUUAGGCCUGUGUGGCUAGUGACCUUUCAGAACCUCACAAGCAACCGAGGAUUAGCCCUGAGAGAGGCUAUUUUGAGUCACAGAGGGUCUUCAACUGCAAGCCUGCGUUUAAGCACAGCACACCAGCAGCAGUCCAAGGAGCAGGUUUAUGGAAGAACGUUCUUCCUUUUAGUGCACUUCUGGCUGAAAGAUCCAUGUUUAGGAUACCUGGUGACCAACAGAAAUGCGAACAGCUGUUAAAAGUCUCUGAUCAAGAAGGCCUGAUAACUCCAACACUGAGAAAAUCCCCAGACUCCAUAUUGCCGAUUACUUCUCCAACCAGUAGCUGGUUUGCAAGACCACAAAAUCUGGUACCGUUCAACAGAAUGCUGAUGGCUAAAUAGAAAUGGUCCACAAAUAGGGCUCAGUAGUGCUACAGAAAUAUGAACAACAACAGGAGAGGCAGCACACAACAUGACUAAUGAUGAAGUAAUUAAUGCUUAGAGAAGUGUUUA